RNAcentral lists this ribosomal RNA (301 nucleotides) under uncultured bacterium. RNAcentral describes it as "partial 16S ribosomal RNA". It matches the Rfam family "Bacterial small subunit ribosomal RNA", at positions 509 to 807 of the family's 1533-position model. The record is from RNAcentral.
CAGCCGCCGCGGUAAUACGAAGGGUGCAAGCGUUACUCGGAAUUACCGGGCGUAAAGCGUGCGUAGGUGGUUGUUUAAGUCUGCUGUGAAAGCCCUGGGCUCAACCUGGGAAUUGCAGUGGAUACUGGGCAACUAGAGUAAGGUAGAGGAUAGUGGAAUUUCCGGUGUAGCAGUGAAAUGCGUAGAGAUCGGAAGGAACAUCUGUGGCGAAGGCGACUAUCUGGGCCAUUACUGACACUGAGGCACGAAAGCGUGGGGAGCAAACAGGAUUAGAUACCCGGGUAGUCCCUGUCUCUUAUAC